Molecule: transfer RNA, 73 nt
Filed under: Limimonas halophila
Lineage: Bacteria; Pseudomonadati; Pseudomonadota; Alphaproteobacteria; Rhodospirillales; Rhodovibrionaceae
Description: Rhodospirillaceae bacterium Ia16 tRNA
Rfam family: tRNA
About the family: Transfer RNA (tRNA) molecules are approximately 80 nucleotides in length.
Source: Rfam by way of RNAcentral
GGGGCCGUAGCUCAGCUGGGAGAGCGCCAGAAUCGCACUCUGGAGGUCACGGGUUCGAAUCCCGUCGGCUCCA